GACGAACCGUGCGAACGUUAAUCGGAUUCAUUGGGCUUAAAGGGCGCGUAGGCGGCGGCGUAAGUUCGUGGUGAAAUCCCAUCGGCUCAACCGUGGAAUUGCUUCGAAUACUGCGUCGCUCGAGGGAGAUAGGGGACCGCAGAACUGCCGGUGGAGCGGUGAAAUGUGUUGAUAUCGGCGGGAAUGCCAGUGCCGAAAGGGGCGGUCUGGACCUCUUCUGACGCUGAGGCGCGAAAGCCAGGGGAGCAAACGGG
RNAcentral lists this ribosomal RNA (254 nucleotides) under uncultured bacterium. RNAcentral's name for it is "partial 16S ribosomal RNA". It matches the Rfam family "Bacterial small subunit ribosomal RNA", at positions 524 to 776 of the family's 1533-position model. The record is from RNAcentral.